AUGUUCCUGUUAUGGGCCGCUAAAAUAAGUGUGGAUCGGAAUUUAUUUUAUGGGCCACUAAACCGAGUCCAGCCAACUGAACUAGCAAACAAUCACAUCACAAGUCACAAGGAGGGUUCGGUGUCACGACGGUUUUGCAGAAUAGUCCCUGUAGUUUUUAUUAAUGAACCCGCACUUCAUGGAGACACAGGAUCGAGCAGUUUCCGUUUUGUACGUCGGCCUCCAGCCGGUGGUAUGUUCCUGUUAUGGGCCGCUAAAAUAAGUGUGGAUCGGAAUUUAUUUUAUGGGCCACUAAACCGAAGAGUCCAGCCAACUGAACUAGCAAACAAUCACAUCACAAGUCACAAGGAGGGUUCGGUGGCUAAUUAA
RNAcentral lists this ribosomal RNA (369 nucleotides) under Triticum aestivum (bread wheat). Its description in RNAcentral is "partial small subunit ribosomal RNA". Lineage: Eukaryota; Viridiplantae; Streptophyta; Magnoliopsida; Poales; Poaceae. The record is from RNAcentral.